AAAUUGAAGAGUUUGAUCAUGGCUCAGAUUGAACGCUGGCGGCAGGCCUAACACAUGCAAGUCGAACGGUAACAGGAAGCAGCUUGCUGCUUCGCUGACGAGUGGCGGACGGGUGAGUAAUGUCUGGGAAACUGCCUGAUGGAGGGGGAUAACUACUGGAAACGGUAGCUAAUACCGCAUAACGUCGCAAGACCAAAGAGGGGGACCUUCGGGCCUCUUGCCAUCGGAUGUGCCCAGAUGGGAUUAGCUAGUAGGUGGGGUAACGGCUCACCUAGGCGACGAUCCCUAGCUGGUCUGAGAGGAUGACCAG
This 310-nucleotide ribosomal RNA is filed under the name Pseudomonas aeruginosa. Its description in RNAcentral is "bacterial SSU rRNA". It matches the Rfam family "Bacterial small subunit ribosomal RNA", at positions 1 to 307 of the family's 1533-position model. Lineage: Bacteria; Pseudomonadati; Pseudomonadota; Gammaproteobacteria; Pseudomonadales; Pseudomonadaceae. RNAcentral also lists the same sequence under 4 other names. The record is from RNAcentral.